GACGAACGCUGGCGGCGUGCCUAAUACAUGCAAGUCGAACGAGAGCGACCGGUGCUUGCACUGGUCAAUCUAGUGGCGAACGGGUGAGUAACACGUGGGUAACCUGCCCAUCAGAGGGGGAUAACAUCCGGAAACGGAUGCUAAAACCGCAUAGGUCUUCGAGCCGCAUGGCUUGAAGAGGAAAAGAGGCGCAAGCUUCCGCUGAUGGAUGGACCCGCGGUGCAUUAGCUAGUUGGUGAGGUAACGGCUCACCAAGGCCGUGAUGCAUAGCCGACCUGAGAGGGUGAUCGGCCACAUUGGGACUGAGACACGGCCCAAACUCCUACGGGAGGCAGCAGUAGGGAAUCUUCCGCAAUGGACGCAAGUCUGACGGAGCAACGCCGCGUGAGUGAAGAAGGUUUUCGGAUCGUAAAACUCUGUUGUUAGAGAAGAACAAGUGCUGGAGUAACUGUUAGCGCCUUGACGGUAUCUAACCAGAAAGCCACGGCUAACUACGUG
This 498-nucleotide ribosomal RNA is filed under the name uncultured bacterium. RNAcentral's name for it is "partial 16S ribosomal RNA". It matches the Rfam family "Bacterial small subunit ribosomal RNA", at positions 28 to 507 of the family's 1533-position model. The record is from RNAcentral.